This 253-nucleotide ribosomal RNA is filed under the name uncultured bacterium. Its description in RNAcentral is "partial 16S ribosomal RNA". It matches the Rfam family "Bacterial small subunit ribosomal RNA", at positions 524 to 776 of the family's 1533-position model. The record is from RNAcentral.
UACGUAGGGUGCAAGCGUUGUCCGGAAUUAUUGGGCGUAAAGAGCGUGUAGGCGGUCCGGUAAGUCAGCUGUGAAAGUCAAGGGCUCAACCCUUGAAAGCCGGUUGAUACUGUCGGGCUAGAGUCCGGAAGAGGCGAGUGGAAUUCCCGGUGUAGCGGUGAAAUGCGUAGAUAUCGGGAGGAAUACCUAUGGCGAAAGCAGGUUUCUGGGCCGUCACUGACGCUGAGCUGCGAAAGCUAGGGGAGCAAACAGG